RNAcentral lists this long non-coding RNA (2003 nucleotides) under Zea mays. RNAcentral describes it as "long non-coding RNA (ZMAY_LNC002563)". Lineage: Eukaryota; Viridiplantae; Streptophyta; Magnoliopsida; Poales; Poaceae. The record is from RNAcentral.
CUUCUCCUCCUCCCCUUGGCCGCCGCCCCCCUGCCCAUCACCUCCUCUCUCAAUUUUUGCAGCCACCAAACCCUAGCCCCCCCCCAAUCCCCUCCUCCCAAGGUGCCAAUCCUUGCCGCUCGGAUCGUCGUCUCGUGGUGCGAUUCUCCAACCGUUUUGGUGGAGGGAGGAAGGGAGGAAGGAAAGGGGGAGAACCCAAGGUGAUUUUUGUGUUCAUCUCUUGUUCAUUUGUGCUGCAAUUCAAUUGAUUAGAUGUUGCGUUUGCGAUUAGAUAGAGGGGGGCCGUCCAGAAUUUUACGUGGUGGAUGAACAGCGGAAGUUCUAGCAGUUUUUAGGGUUUUUUCGUGAAGGAUUAAUGGGGAUCAAUUUGGGGAUCUUGUAGAACUUUGUUUUACCUUUCCAAUGGGUAUUUAUGCGCUCAAUUUGGAGUUAUAAAUUAAAAGUUAUCAUCGUUUGAAUCCGGGUGUGUGGCUGUCCAAAAAACAGAUUUUUCAGAGUGUUGAACAGCAGCAGUAUUAGCAGUUUCUGGGGAUUUUUCGGGAGUAAUUAGUGUUAAUCAGUAUGAGAAUCAUGUAGGGCUUUUUCUUAUCUUUCCAACAAGUACUUAUGCGCUCAAAUCGGAAUUAUAUUUUAAAAGUUAUCGCUGUUUGAAUCCGAGUAUGUCGCUGCCCAAAUCAGAAAAAAACAGAUUGCAGGGUUUAUUUUGUGGACCGUUUAGAGGUAAUUAGAUGUUAGAAUUUAAUCAUGAGUCGUAUACAAAACUUGUGGGAAAUUUUAGGUAGUUGUCUCUGAAGUUUUUGUUUGACACCACUGCUGUCCUAAUUUUUAAGUUAUGGAAUUGUUAAGCAGUGCCGCUGCAGUUUGGUUAGUGAGGGGAGAAUUGUUACCGCGGCGGGGUUGAGAUUGCGCGUAGGUGCGGUGUUGUCUUUGAGUUUUUUUAUGUGAAUUUGGUGCACUAAGUUGGGUGUCAAAAACAGGUGGUGGACUUCCGGAUCGUUCUUAGGGAUUUUGCCCAAACUUCGGUGAAGGCAAGUAAAACUGUGAUGGUUAUUCCGUCUGUCUGAUGAGGAGUCUUAUACUUGUUUAUGUUGUGCUAUCAUGUUCAAAUUCAUAUUUUAUUUUGAGUACCAUCAUUUGAAAAUGUUCAUGUUUCAUGGAUUUCGUAUGUUGAGUUUGAGGUUUGAUUAUGUUACUCAAGUGGUUAUUAUGUGGAAUGGUUGGAAGUAAAUGCCUAGCACAUUUUUAUUUGGGAAGAACUUAUGAUGUUGUCAUGCAUAAUGCACUCAUCAUCCAUUGCAUUGAAGUUUCGUCGCGAUAUUAUGGUCCGACCGUACCGGUACAUUGAGCAUCAUAUGUUGCCCGAGAAGGGGUAUGGUGCAGCUUCAUAUCCUUAGAGAUAUGGAGGCAGAAGUCAUUAUUGCAUUUGUAGCCAUGUGCAUUCAUGGGAGAGGUGUUGAAUCUAUUAUGUGGAUGUGGAUAAUUUGGACUUGUGCAUGGUGAUUCUACUUGGCGUUGAGCUUUUAGUUACUUGGUUACUUGCUGCAAUUUACUGUUCAAAAGAAAAGAAAGAAGUCCUGAACACGUGGUUGUGAAAGCAUAGUUGAUUUACAAUGUCCUAUUUAUUGUUGUUAUGUUUACUUGCUGAGAUGUGUUAUCUCACAUCUUGCAUUGUUUGAUGCAGGCACCUAAUUUCUGCUUUGGGAAUAGAGGGAUGUAGCAGCACGGCCACUACACCUUUAAUAAAGGAACCACCAUUUAAUAAUGUUGUUAAUCAGAGUUGGACAAGUCUAGUGAAUUGCUUUGUUCUUGGUUGAGCGUUUAUUUUGGGGUGGGCUGAGUUUCUUGUCCCAUUUGUUUUGCUUCAGUUGGGUCAUAAUUAAGUUUUACCACUUUUGCAUUUCAGUUUCUACUAUGUGAAUUAUAUGUCUUUAUAUCUUGUAUGAGCUUCAUGUUUCCCCUCCUUGUUAUGCUAGUUUUCAAAGGAGGUGUUGCCGGAUUUUGCU